This 106-nucleotide non-coding RNA is filed under the name unclassified sequences. RNAcentral describes it as "drum RNA". It matches the Rfam family "drum RNA". Rfam says of the family: Firmicutes, Bacteroidetes (1 example), Proteobacteria (2 examples), Spirochaetes (2 examples). Terminator (Clostridia) The record is from Rfam by way of RNAcentral.
UAUCUGUGAAACAGGAGCCGUGAUGGAGAGCGGGGACUGUGGAGAUAUUGCAAAAGGUGGCAACUUACCAUAAACCAUCUAGCGAAAGCGAAAGAAAGUUGCUGAU